This is a non-coding RNA of Neolamprologus brichardi, 2549 nucleotides long. The record is from RefSeq and is a predicted model, not a curated record. NCBI's taxonomy places the organism in Eukaryota, Metazoa, Chordata, Actinopteri, Cichliformes, Cichlidae.
GGUGGAUGAGACCGUUGAGAGGUGGAGGCAAGAUCUGGAGAGAGAGGAAUGAAAAUCAGCAGAAUAUGACAGAAUAAUGAGUGUGAAUGAGACAGAGGCACGGGCAGCUACAAGGAGCAGAGAAGAGUUUAAAUGCCUGUAGUCAACCAUCCAACAACAGACAGAAGAAGAGCGUGCAGGGACGUCAUCAAGAGAAUAGACCAGUCCGAGUUUGAGGGAUUUGAAUACAUCAACCCCCUGCUGCUAGCCACAGAAGAGUCUGUAUGAAGGAGAAACCAGCGUCCUCCUCCGAGCUGCUGUUCAAAAACAGAAACAAACAAACAAACUUGCAAGCCAACUCAACUCAGAAAGGCGACAACAAGGAGGAAGUUCCCCCUGGACCUGUCCACAAGGCAAACGGGAGGACGGAGAGUUUUUCCCUGGGGAGCCGGACGCCGGACUACAGGAACAUUCCCUGACUUUAUGCUGUCUUCUCCUUUUCUUUGUUCGGUCCUGUUGUCCCUGUCAGUCCAUCCUUGUGUCAGAGCAGGACUGGCUGUGUGAGCGUUUCAUUCUGUGCCUGCCACCAUCAACACGUUUCAGCCCAUCUCACGCCCUGGAUGAAUACGACGGCUUUGCGAAACAACUUUAAAUAAUUUUACGUGCAAUUUUUUAUUCUUCUUUUUUUUCUAUCUUGGUAGGGGGGCCACGCCUCACACACACAAGAAUGUACAAUGACAAAGGAGAAAAUGUUGUUAUUGUGUAUUAUGAUGUAGCUAGUGAAUCCAAAAUUGAUGAUGCCUUUUAUUGAUGCAAGCGGCACAUGUUCCUCCAUAACCACAAACUUUUCUUUGUGUUCUGUUGUUUUCACAAACAAGGGGGUGACAACUUUUUAUUUAAGAAGUGCCUCAAAGAUCAAAUGAUUUCCCGUGUCUCUGAUUGCACCUCUCUGUUCACCUGUUAUGGCUGCAGCAGGUAACGCAGCUGAAACUCUGCCAGGGUAUGUCUGAACUCUCGUCCAGCGUGUGGAGCUCGCUAAGCUGCCUCAGUCCCCACACACAAACAAACCUUCUUAUUUUUAACCAAUCGUUCAAAUAAUCAACAUUUCCUGUGAAUAUGUAAUUGACACGAGCAGCUGGGAGGAGACCUGACCUCUUUCCUUACACAUGUGUAAUUGUAAUAUUUCCCAGUGAAGGUCCGCGUUAUCGUCACAUAGGUGAGGAGCAGCAGACAGACUUGGCCCAUGCCUGCUGUCAGACGUUGGCUUCAGCUUUCACAGUAAAUGCAGCUUUGGGUUCCUCCUCACCAGGUGCUGCUGCGUGACCAUCUGUGUGACCUGCUGGGGGAAACUGGUCACCGUUUCCUUUAUGGGCUCACUGUGUGGUUCCAUGUCUACAGUGACCUGCUGCAACGACAGCUGGAAAUCUGUUUGCAAGUCUAAAUGAAAUGGGAGAACAGCAGAAAAGCCAUGAGAGCUUUUCCGUGGUGUUCACAGACAUUAGUGGGUCUUCCCUGUGUGGGGGAACAAAGCUAUUUUGGGUUAAAUUCCAGGUGUCUUACUUUGGAGUUUGUCUCGCCGCCCUCCCUGAGCCUGGUUCUGGCAGAGGUCUGUUCCCAUUAAACGGGCGUUCUUCCUCCCUACUGUUGCCAAGCUCUGUUUAUAGAGGAUCAUCUGAUUGUUGAGGACUAUGCCUACAGUACUAGAGAUACUGUAAAAAAGUGCCCUGAGACAACUGCUGGGGCGCUAAAGAAAGAAAAGUGGGUCAUUCCCAGUCUCAGCUGGAAUGUUCUGGAUGAGUGCUAGUCAGGGGUUGGAGGAUUAGGUCACUAUUAUAAUUCAUGCCCUCCACCAUGCAGCUGCUGGUGCACAACAGCUAUAAAACCAGUACGAAGCCAUGAGUUUGUCUUUACUAUAUAAUGAAGUUUUCAGGACACUUUAACUCUGUAUACUGCCUCCUUUUAUACACAGCAAGCAACAUAUCAGUACCUAACUGAAGCUUUGAUGUUUUAAUGCUGGGACAUCAGUGAGCACACAUUCAUGUCUCCAACACAACUUGGUGCUUCUGAUGCAAGCUGUGUGUAUCUGCAUACAUGUUCUUCUGAGGGAGAAGCUCUCAAUUGGCUGUUUGUGAUGAAACCUGACCGACGCUAAUUUAAUAACCUCAUAAUAGGAUUAAUUAGCUGAUCAGUCACAGGGCCUCAAUUAGCUGCAGGCCCUGUACAGGCAGGGAGACGGCGUAAUGAAGUUCCAGUCACAAUGAAAAUACACACCUCUAAUCUAAAGAAGCAUCCUCCUCCUCCAACCCCGACACUCCAUCUCACAGACUGUAUUUUAUUACCUGCACACAGGUGAUACAUUAGUGAUGCUUUUUUUCCCCUUAAGGGACCAAUGGAUAAACUGGAAGCUCUUGACUCCACCUUACAGAACAUGAAGGCUGCUCAAACCCCAUGAAGGAUUAUUCAACUACAGUUCUGCUUUUACAUAAUGCUGGCCAGGUCUGCUUCAUUUAGCUUCAUCGCAUCUUUGUAAAUAUGUGUAAUUAUUAAAAAUCAAACUGGUUUUCUGUGAA